Molecule: long non-coding RNA, 3723 nt
Filed under: Hordeum vulgare
Lineage: Eukaryota; Viridiplantae; Streptophyta; Magnoliopsida; Poales; Poaceae
Description: long non-coding RNA (HVUL_LNC006255)
Source: RNAcentral
UCAGAUCGGGGACGUAGGCUUCCACUUGCUCCGUGGUCAUGUUGUCUAGGUAGCCCAUGGCGAGGUCGUUGGCGCCGAUUUUGAAGGUGUAAAGCGCCUUGGAGACCAGGUGCUCGGGGUUCGGCAGGAUCUCCCGGUAGACUCCGCCUACGUUGUUGUAGAUGUGCGAUAACUAUGUCACAUCUAAAUGUGUCCUAAACACACCCUUGCUAAAAAUACAUCCAGGAGCUGCAUUUAAGUUUGAUUUUCACCUAUGUUGUUGUAGACGAAGCGGCUCCUGUUGAUGAACUGCUGGAAUUGCCAGAGCUGCACGUCCAGGGAAAUGGGGCUGUACCCGGAGGUCCACAGGCUCCCGUUCACCCGUCUGAUGGUUCCGGCGGCGCUCGCGAAAUUGGCUCCCUGCGUGAAGUUGCUCCCUAGUGAAUCCAGGUACGCAUUCAGGUAACGUAGCCCCAGGUUUUGAGCUGCGAUACGUCGUACGUGUUAGGAAAAAUAAAAAAUCUCUAGUUUUGAGUUGUUUGUGCAGGAAAGAAAAAACUCUAAAUCCAUCCUAGUUUUGAGUUGUAGAUAAAUGUCAUGAGUACCCAUGAAGUCGAUGACGAGGCGGCCGUCGCUCUGCCGCCCGGCCGGCAUGCCGAAGAAGGUCUGGCCGUAGGGCGGCUGCACCGCCGGGAAGAGGGCCGGGAAGGCUCCGGUGUCCGAGGAGGAGUCGCCGAAGUUGAAGAUGGCCGGGAAGCCGCACGGGGAAUCUUCGGAGCGCACCAUUUCUAGUACCACCAGCAACACCACGAACGUGAUCAGUUUGUUGGUGGCCAUGGUGGUGCGACGGCGAGCUGAAAUCAUUUCCGACCUCUCGACCGUGUGCCGUGACGGUGAAGCUGCUUGAAGUGGAUUUAUACACGCCGGCACCGAGGUCGUCACAGUCGAGCACCCGUGUUGGACUGGCGGUCUCCGACGUGAUCCUAAAGAGAUGGAAUAGCUACGUUUUGUUGACAACUAGUAUUAAGCGGCUGAUUUCCAUGCACCACCCUCCAUAGACCAACGGGUCAUCACCGUUUGCGUGGCACCUUAGGACAAGCAACAAGGCGUGCUUGACCCUUGAUUACUCUCUAGCACUACAGUAUCUUGACGUUUAGUUCCAUGGUGACGUGGCCAAGAUGCAUUCAUUUCUGCGAGAAAUAAUUAUGGACUGAUGAAAUAUCUUCUGUACAAUAUUUGAGUAGCGACACGUGUCGGAGUGGGAACAAGUGAAGGCGAUGGAUUCGGGGGCGGCGAUCAACUCGAUGCUGCAGACUGAAGAACGAUCAGGAUGCAUGAAGUCCUUUUGCGUUUGUCUUUCAAACUAUGCUCUCGUUUCGCAUGCGGAUUAUGCUUUAUUGUUUAAAUUCGAACUCAUUUGCCGAAAUCGCUGUCAAAUUCCAACUAUGUUCUAUUGCGUGGUUUUUCGGUUUGCGGGUCGCCGCGGUGGCACCCGAGCACACACCACAUUGACAACCCGUAUAAUAGCAUUUUUUUGCGAAUAUGCUUUAUACGGCUCCGUUUUGGGGGGUCCACCUCUGUCCGCACCCGCGCCGCCCGCAAGAUCCAUUUUUCACGAACUGUAAACGAUUUUUGCGGGUCGAAAUUAUACGGGGUCUGCUAGAAAUGCCCUUAUGAUCAUGUUGGAGCACCAGCCCAAAACGGAUGAUGGACUCCGACGACUUGACGGUGCCGGCGUGUAUGAAUCCUGACGGCCAGUGCCAUUCUCAAAAGGACAAAAGAAGAAAAAAGGACCAGUCCAGUAGUAAUGCAUGUGGUACUUCAUGUUCUGGAUGGAUGCUGGACUUGACUUGCCGGCCGGCCUGUAUAAACCACAAAUCAUUUUCCCUGCAGCUUCACCGUCACGGGCACCGGACGAGCGGCGGGAAAUGGCUUGAGCUCAUGGUUGAACUACCAUGGCGACCAAUCUCAUGUCCGUCGUGUUGCUAAUGGUGAUAAAGCUCUCUGCUGGGGCGCGCUCUGACGAAUCCCCGUGCAGCUUCCCGGCAAUCUUCAAUCUCGGUGACUCCAACUCGGACAACGGAGCUUUCCCGACCCUCUUUCCGGCUGUGCAGCCGCCCUACGGCCAGACCUUCUUGGGCAAUGGGCAUGCCGGCCGGGCGGCAAAGCGACGGCUGCCUCACCAUCGACUUCCUGGGUACACAUCUAUCUACAACAUCUCAUAGGGAUCGUAUGCAUCGUGCUGCUGCAGAGGUGAUAACCGAUGAUUUUAUUUCCUAACACACGUAACGUACGUAUUGCAGCUCAAGCAUGUUACCUGAGUGCAAUUUACUCAAUAUAACAUGUUUGUCAUGUAGUUCACCAUAGAUAUAUUUCUUAUUCAUAGAUUUUCUACACGAUAUUAUCUCAUUGCAGAUUUUAUUUGGAUUACGGAUACUAGUGCAGAUUUUAUUUGGAGUACGGAUGUCUGGAAAAAUAAUCCUACAUUCAGAAUCUAAUUAAUGAACAUCAUGCGCAUUGCCCUUUGCCCUGGCAGGCCCCACGCAAAGGCACCGGAGGGUCGGAGAGAGCGCCGUCCACGAUCUGGUCGAAGAUGAAUUUGUAAGCCGCCUCUGUCAAGUGCACCCCAUCCCAGCUCACGCUCUUCGAUGGGUCCUCGCAAGACUUCCCCUCUAGGACCGGAUCACCGCACCGGAUGUUCUUGUCGAAGUUGUACUGGCCGCCGCCGUACCCGCAACACACACGCAGAGGAUCCCCAAAACCGAACUUUUUGGCUUCGCUCAUCAACUUGUACGUGGCGGCGUACACGUCGACGUAGGUGAAGGCGGCCUCGGGGAGAGCCACCCUGAGCCUCGCCACGGUCUCCUUGAGCCGCGCAUUGAAGAACUGGGGGCCGGCGUUGAGCGCGACAGAGCAGCCGGCGUCGUCCUUCUCCGCGGCGAGGUCAGGGCGGUAGACCAGGGCGUAGGGGAGGCACCCGAGCGUCCCCGUGUUGUGCACCCAGAAGUACCUCCCGCCAUGGUUGUACACCGUCUGGAUCGCCGACGCGAGCCUCUCCAUUAGAUCGGGGACGUAGGCCUCCACUUGGGCCGUGGUCAUGUUUUCUAGGUAGCCCAUGGCGAGGUCGUUGGCGCCGAUGUCGAAGGUGUAAAGCGCCUUGGAGACCAGGUGAUCUGGUUUGGGCAAGAUCGCUCGGUAGAUUCCACCUGCGUCGAUAUCGAGGAACCUCCGGUAAGAAAUUGCUAAAAGACAUCUAGAUGUGAGAUAACUAUUGCACAUCUAAGUCCUAUGUGAUUGACCUUACGUCGAGAUUCGUGUGAGUAUCUUUUUUACUUUUUACUUUUUUUUAUGCUUGAUUUAGCAUUUUAGAUGUGCGAUAAUUAUGUCACAUCUAGAUGUGUCCUAGACACACCCUUGCUACAAAAUAUAUAUCGAGGAGCUGGAUUUAAGUUUGAUUUUCACCUAUGUUGUUGUAGACGAAGCGGCUCCUGUUGAUGAACUGCUGGAAUUGCCAGAUCUGCACGUCCAAGGAAAUGGGGCUGUAUCCGGAGGUCCACAAGCUCCCGUUCACUCGUCUGAUAGUUCCAGCGGCGCUCGCGAAAUUGGCUCCCUGCGUGAAGUUGCUCCCUAGCGAAUCCAGAUACGCAUUCAGGUAACGCAGCCCCAGGCUUUGAGCUGCGGCACAUACGUGUCAGGGAAACAAUAUAGAAAAUCUCCAGUUUUGAGAUGUUGUAGGUAGAUGUG